CUAACUUUCUUAGUAAAAACCUUUUGGCUAAGAUCAAGUGUAGUAUCUGAUCUUAUCAGUUUAAUAUCUGAUACGUCCUCUAUCCAAGGACAAUUCAUUAAAUGGGUUUCUGGAGCAGGGAGUUGGAACAGGAGUUUGCUCCAUCCACUCCACGCACAGACCUGGUAUUGCAGUAUCUCCAGGAAGAGCGCACCCCUC
Camelus dromedarius (Arabian camel) is the source of this 198-nucleotide small nuclear RNA. Its record names the gene U2. It matches the Rfam family "U2 spliceosomal RNA". From Rfam's summary of the family: U2 is a small nuclear RNA (snRNA) component of the spliceosome (involved in pre-mRNA splicing). Complementary binding between U2 snRNA (in an area lying towards the 5' end but 3' to hairpin I) and the branchpoint sequence (BPS) of the intron results the bulging out of an unpaired adenosine, on the BPS, which initiates a nucleophilic attack at the intronic 5' splice site, thus starting the first of two transesterification reactions that mediate splicing. The record is from Ensembl. NCBI's taxonomy places the organism in Eukaryota, Metazoa, Chordata, Mammalia, Artiodactyla, Camelidae.